This 234-nucleotide long non-coding RNA is filed under the name Setaria italica (foxtail millet). RNAcentral describes it as "long non-coding RNA (SITA_LNC005042)". The record is from RNAcentral. Lineage: Eukaryota; Viridiplantae; Streptophyta; Magnoliopsida; Poales; Poaceae.
UGUACCAGUUGGAGUUCCAAAUAACCAACUAACCACUAGAAGAUCCAGCAGAAGGUGAAAACUCAAACAAGUUUAGGUGUCUGGGAUAGAAUUUUCUAAUGCAAGAAGAGUCAAACCAAUCUCUUUUUAUUUCCUGCAAACAGACUAUAGAAGCUACACUCUCUAAAAUUUUGUCGCUCAGCGCAUCCCAUUUAUGCUAAGAGUUAAUGCCUCUUAUGUUCCAGACAAGGAAAU